Molecule: ribosomal RNA, 515 nt
Filed under: Metschnikowia pulcherrima
Lineage: Eukaryota; Fungi; Ascomycota; Pichiomycetes; Serinales; Metschnikowiaceae
Description: eukaryotic LSU rRNA
Rfam family: Eukaryotic large subunit ribosomal RNA
Source: RNAcentral
CAAAGGUUAGCUCAGUACGGCGAGUGAAGCGGCAAAAGCUCAAAUUUGAAAUCCCCCGGGAAUUGUAAUUUGAAGAGAUUUGGGUCCGGCCGGCGGGGGUUAAGUCCACUGGAAAGUGGCGCCACAGAGGGUGACAGCCCCGUGAACCCCUUUAAAGCCUUCAUCCCAGGUCUCCAAGAGUCGAGUUGUUUGGGAAUGCAGCUCUAAGUGGGUGGUAAAUUCCAUCUAAAGCUAAAUACCGGCGAGAGACCGAUAGCGAACAAGUACAGUGAUGGAAAGAUGAAAAGCACUUUGAAAAGAGAGUGAAAAAGUACGUGAAAUUGUUGAAAGGGAAGGGCUUGCAAGCAGACACUUAACUGGGCCAGCAUCGGGGCGGCGGGGAGCAAAACCACCGGGGAAUGUACCUUUCGAGGAUUAUAACCCCGGUCCUUACUCCCUCGCCACCCCGAGGCCUGCAAUCUAAGGAUGCUGGCGUAAUGGUUGCAAGUCGCCCGUCUUGAAACAACGGACCAAAA